GGUUAAGCGACUAAGCGUACACGGUGGAUGCCCUGGCAGUCAGAGGCGAUGAAGGACGUGCUAAUCUGCGAUAAGCGUCGGUAAGGUGAUAUGAACCGUUAUAACCGGCGAUUUCCGAAUGGGGAAACCCAGUGUGUUUCGACACACUAUCAUUAACUGAAUCCAUAGGUUAAUGAGGCGAACCGGGGGAACUGAAACAUCUAAGUACCCCGAGGAAAAGAAAUCAACCGAGAUUCCCCCAGUAGCGGCGAGCGAACGGGGAGCAGCCCAGAGCCUGAAUCAGUGUGUGUGUUAGUGGAAGCGUCUGGAAAGGCGCGCGAUACAGGGUGACAGCCCCGUACACAAAAAUGCACAUGCUGUGAGCUCGAUGAGUAGGGCGGGACACGUGGUAUCCUGUCUGAAUAUGGGGGGACCAUCCUCCAAGGCUAAAUACUCCUGACUGACCGAUAGUGAACCAGUACCGUGAGGGAAAGGCGAAAAGAACCCCGGCGAGGGGAGUGAAAAAGAACCUGAAACCGUGUACGUACAAGCAGUGGGAGCACGCUUAGGCGUGUGACUGCGUACCUUUUGUAUAAUGGGUCAGCGACUUAUAUUCUGUAGCAAGGUUAACCGAAUAGGGGAGCCGAAGGGAAACCGAGUCUUAACUGGGCGUUAAGUUGCAGGGUAUAGACCCGAAACCCGGUGAUCUAGCCAUGGGCAGGUUGAAGGUUGGGUAACACUAACUGGAGGACCGAACCGACUAAUGUUGAAAAAUUAGCGGAUGACUUGUGGCUGGGGGUGAAAGGCCAAUCAAACCGGGAGAUAGCUGGUUCUCCCCGAAAGCUAUUUAGGUAGCGCCUCGUGAAUUCAUCUCCGGGGGUAGAGCACUGUUUCGGCAAGGGGGUCAUCCCGACUUACCAACCCGAUGCAAACUGCGAAUACCGGAGAAUGUUAUCACGGGAGACACACGGCGGGUGCUAACGUCCGUCGUGAAGAGGGAAACAACCCAGACCGCCAGCUAAGGUCCCAAAGUCAUGGUUAAGUGGGAAACGAUGUGGGAAGGCCCAGACAGCCAGGAUGUUGGCUUAGAAGCAGCCAUCAUUUAAAGAAAGCGUAAUAGCUCACUGGUCGAGUCGGCCUGCGCGGAAGAUGUAACGGGGCUAAACCAUGCACCGAAGCUGCGGCAGCGACGCUUAUGCGUUGUUGGGUAGGGGAGCGUUCUGUAAGCCUGCGAAGGUGUGCUGUGAGGCAUGCUGGAGGUAUCAGAAGUGCGAAUGCUGACAUAAGUAACGAUAAAGCGGGUGAAAAGCCCGCUCGCCGGAAGACCAAGGGUUCCUGUCCAACGUUAAUCGGGGCAGGGUGAGUCGACCCCUAAGGCGAGGCCGAAAGGCGUAGUCGAUGGGAAACAGGUUAAUAUUCCUGUACUUGGUGUUACUGCGAAGGGGGGACGGAGAAGGCUAUGUUGGCCGGGCGACGGUUGUCCCGGUUUAAGCGUGUAGGCUGGUUUUCCAGGCAAAUCCGGAAAAUCAAGGCUGAGGCGUGAUGACGAGGCACUACGGUGCUGAAGCAACAAAUGCCCUGCUUCCAGGAAAAGCCUCUAAGCAUCAGGUAACAUCAAAUCGUACCCCAAACCGACACAGGUGGUCAGGUAGAGAAUACCAAGGCGCUUGAGAGAACUCGGGUGAAGGAACUAGGCAAAAUGGUGCCGUAACUUCGGGAGAAGGCACGCUGAUAUGUAGGUGAAGUCCCUCGCGGAUGGAGCUGAAAUCAGUCGAAGAUACCAGCUGGCUGCAACUGUUUAUUAAAAACACAGCACUGUGCAAACACGAAAGUGGACGUAUACGGUGUGACGCCUGCCCGGUGCCGGAAGGUUAAUUGAUGGGGUUAGCGCAAGCGAAGCUCUUGAUCGAAGCCCCGGUAAACGGCGGCCGUAACUAUAACGGUCCUAAGGUAGCGAAAUUCCUUGUCGGGUAAGUUCCGACCUGCACGAAUGGCGUAAUGAUGGCCAGGCUGUCUCCACCCGAGACUCAGUGAAAUUGAACUCGCUGUGAAGAUGCAGUGUACCCGCGGCAAGACGGAAAGACCCCGUGAACCUUUACUAUAGCUUGACACUGAACAUUGAGCCUUGAUGUGUAGGAUAGGUGGGAGGCUUUGAAGUGUGGACGCCAGUCUGCAUGGAGCCGACCUUGAAAUACCACCCUUUAAUGUUUGAUGUUCUAACGUGGACCCGUGAUCCGGGUUGCGGACAGUGUCUGGUGGGUAGUUUGACUGGGGCGGUCUCCUCCUAAAGAGUAACGGAGGAGCACGAAGGUUGGCUAAUCCUGGUCGGACAUCAGGAGGUUAGUGCAAUGGCAUAAGCCAGCUUGACUGCGAGCGUGACGGCGCGAGCAGGUGCGAAAGCAGGUCAUAGUGAUCCGGUGGUUCUGAAUGGAAGGGCCAUCGCUCAACGGAUAAAAGGUACUCCGGGGAUAACAGGCUGAUACCGCCCAAGAGUUCAUAUCGACGGCGGUGUUUGGCACCUCGAUGUCGGCUCAUCACAUCCUGGGGCUGAAGUAGGUCCCAAGGGUAUGGCUGUUCGCCAUUUAAAGUGGUACGCGAGCUGGGUUUAGAACGUCGUGAGACAGUUCGGUCCCUAUCUGCCGUGGGCGCUGGAGAACUGAGGGGGGCUGCUCCUAGUACGAGAGGACCGGAGUGGACGCAUCACUGGUGUUCGGGUUGUCAUGCCAAUGGCACUGCCCGGUAGCUAAAUGCGGAAGAGAUAAGUGCUGAAAGCAUCUAAGCACGAAACUUGCCCCGAGAUGAGUUCUCCCUGACCCUUUAAGGGUCCUGAAGGAACGUUGAAGACGACGACGUUGAUAGGCCGGGUGUGUAAGCGCAGCGAUGCGUUGAGCUAACCGGUACUAAUGAACCGUGAGGCUUAACCUU
This 2904-nucleotide ribosomal RNA is filed under the name Escherichia coli. Its description in RNAcentral is "23S ribosomal RNA". It matches the Rfam family "Bacterial large subunit ribosomal RNA". The record is from RNAcentral. Lineage: Bacteria; Pseudomonadati; Pseudomonadota; Gammaproteobacteria; Enterobacterales; Enterobacteriaceae.